RNAcentral lists this transfer RNA (62 nucleotides) under Andrena linsleyi. RNAcentral describes it as "tRNA-Leu". The record is from RNAcentral. Lineage: Eukaryota; Metazoa; Arthropoda; Insecta; Hymenoptera; Andrenidae.
UAUGGCAGAAUAGUGCAAUGGAUUUAAACCCCAUAAAUAAAAUUUAUAAAUUUUUGUUAAAA